GACGAACGCUGGCGGCGUGCUUAACACAUGCAAGUCGAACGGAAAGGCCCUGCUUUUGUGGGGUGCUCGAGUGGCGAACGGGAGAGUAACACGUGAGUAACCUGCCCUUGACUUUGGGAUAACUUCAGGAAACUGGGGCUAAUACCGGAUAGGAGCUCCUGCUGCAUGGUGGGGGUUGGAAAGUUUCGGCGGUUGGGGAUGGACUCGCGGCUUAUCAGCUUGUUGGUGGGGUAGUGGCUUACCAAGGCUUUGACGGGUAGCCGGCCUGAGAGGGUGACCGGCCACCUUGGGACUGAGAUACGGCCCAGACUCCUACGGGAGGCAGCAGUGGGGAAUAUUGCACAAUGGGCGGAAGCCUGAUGCAGCAACGCCGCGUGCGGGAUGACGGCCUUCGGGUUGUAAACCGCUUUCGCCUGUGACGAAGCGUGAGUGACGGUAAUGGGUAAAGAAGCACCGGCUAACUACGUG
RNAcentral lists this ribosomal RNA (468 nucleotides) under uncultured bacterium. RNAcentral describes it as "partial 16S ribosomal RNA". It matches the Rfam family "Bacterial small subunit ribosomal RNA", at positions 28 to 507 of the family's 1533-position model. The record is from RNAcentral.